CCUACGGGAGGCAGCAGUGAGGAAUAUUGGUCAAUGGCCGGGAGGCUGAACCAGCCAAGUCGCGUGAGGGAAGACGGCCCUACGGGUUGUAAACCUCUUUUGUCAGGGAGCAAGGUGCAGGUCGGGACCUGCUGUGAGCGUACCUGAAGAACAAGCAUCGGCUAACUCCGUGCCAGCAGCCGCGGUAAUACGGAGGAUGCGAGCGUUAUCCGGAUUUAUUGGGUUUAAAGGGUGCGCAGACGGAGGCACAAGUCAGCGGUAAAAGCGCGGGGCUCAACCCCGCUCCGCCGUUGAAACUGUGUCCCGGGAGUGCGCGAAGGGUAGGCGGAAUGCGAGGUGUAGCGGUGAAAUGCAUAGAUAUCACGCAGAACGCCGAUCGCGAAGGCAGCCUACCGGAGCGCAACUGACGCUCAUGCACGAAAGCGUGGGUAUCGAACAGGAUUAGAUACCCUUGUAGUC
This 459-nucleotide ribosomal RNA is filed under the name uncultured bacterium. RNAcentral's name for it is "partial 16S ribosomal RNA". It matches the Rfam family "Bacterial small subunit ribosomal RNA", at positions 338 to 795 of the family's 1533-position model. The record is from RNAcentral.